Molecule: non-coding RNA, 82 nt
Organism: Trichonephila clavipes
Lineage: Eukaryota; Metazoa; Arthropoda; Arachnida; Araneae; Nephilidae
Source: the annotation of a GenBank genome assembly
GUAGUCGUGGCCGAGUGGUUAAGGCGACGGACUAGAAAUCCAUUGGGUUCUUCCCGCGUAUGUUAGAAUACUACCGACUACG